Molecule: ribosomal RNA, 648 nt
Filed under: uncultured bacterium
Lineage: Bacteria
Description: bacterial SSU rRNA
Rfam family: Bacterial small subunit ribosomal RNA
Source: RNAcentral
AGAGUUUGAUCCUGGCUCAGAGCGAACGCUGGCGGCAUGCUUAACACAUGCAAGUCGCACGGUUCGGGGGCAACUCCGGGCAGUGGCGGACGGGUGAGUAACGCGUAGGAAUCUAUCCUUGGAUGGGGGGCAACCGUGGGAAACUACGGCUAAUACCGCAUGAUGCCUGAGGGCCAAAGCUCGUGAGAGCGUCUGGGGAGGAGCCUGCGUCUGAUUAGGUAGUUGGUGGGGUAAAGGCCUACCAAGCCUGCGAUCAGUAGCUGGUCUGAGAGGAUGAUCAGCCACAUUGGGACUGAGACACGGCCCAAACUCCUACGGGAGGCAGCAGUGGGGAAUAUUGGACAAUGGGCGCAAGCCUGAUCCAGCAAUGCCGCGUGGGUGAAGAAGGUUUUCGGAUUGUAAAGCCCUUUUGGCGGGGACGAUGAUGACGGUACCCGCAGAAUAAGCUCCGGCUAACUUCGUGCCAGCAGCCGCGGUAAUACGAAGGGGGCUAGCGUUGCUCGGAAUGACUGGGCGUAAAGGGCGCGUAGGCGGCUUGCACAGUCAGGCGUGAAAUUCCUGGGCUCAACCUGGGGACUGCGUCUGAUACGUGCAGGCUUGAGUGUGAAAGAGGGUCGUGGAAUUUCCAGUGUAGAGGUGAAAUUCGUA